This 492-nucleotide ribosomal RNA is filed under the name uncultured bacterium. RNAcentral's name for it is "partial 16S ribosomal RNA". It matches the Rfam family "Bacterial small subunit ribosomal RNA", at positions 29 to 507 of the family's 1533-position model. The record is from RNAcentral.
AGUGAACGCUGGCGGUAGGCCUAACACAUGCAAGUCGAACGGCAGCACAGUAAGAGCUUGCUCUUACGGGUGGCGAGUGGCGGACGGGUGAGGAAUACAUCGGAAUCUACUUUUUCGUGGGGGAUAACGUAGGGAAACUUACGCUACUACCGCAUAUGACCUACGGGUGAAAGCAGUGGAUCUUCGGACCUUGCGCGACUGUAAGAGCCGGUGUCGGAUUAGCUAGUUGGCAAGGUAAAGGCUCACCAUGGCGACGAUCCGUAGCUGACCUGAGAGGGUGAUCGGCCACACGGGAAAUGAGAGACGGUCCAGACUCCUACGGGAGGCAGAAGUAGGGAAGCUUCCGCAAUGGGCGAAAGCCUGACGGAGCAACGCCGCGUGAGUGAUGAAGGUCUUCGGAUCGUAAAACUCUGUGAUUAGGGAAGAACAAAUGUGUAAGUAACUAUGCACGUCUUGACGGUACCUAAUCAGAAAGCCACGGCUAACUACGUG